RNAcentral lists this ribosomal RNA (252 nucleotides) under uncultured bacterium. RNAcentral describes it as "partial 16S ribosomal RNA". The record is from RNAcentral.
CUGCUGCCUUCCGUAGGAGUCUGGCCGUGUCUCAGUACCAGUGUGGGGGACCUUCCUCUCAGAACCCCUACGCAUCGUCGUCUUGGUGGUCCGUUACACCGCCAACUAACUAAUGCGACGCAUGCCCAUCCGCCACCGGAAUCAACCUUUGGCACCAACAGGAUGUCCCGUCGAUGCAUUAUGCCGUAUUAGACGGAAUUUCUCCCGAUUAUCCGGCUGUGGCAGGCAGGUUGCAUACGUGUUACUCACCCG